UGGGGAAUAUUGGACAAUGGGCGCAAGCCUGAUCCAGCCAUGCCGCGUGAGUGAUGAAGGCCCUAGGGUUGUAAAGCUCUUUCACCGUUGAAGAUAAUGACGGUAACCGGAGAAGAAGCCCCGGCUAACUUCGUGCCAGCAGCCGCGGUAAUACGAAGGGGGCUAGCGUUGUUCGGAUUUACUGGGCGUAAAGCGCACGUAGGCGGACUUUUAAGUCAGGGGUGAAAUCCCGGGGCUCAACCCCGGAACUGCCUUUGAUACUGGAAGUCUUGAGUAUGGUAGAGGUGAGUGGAAUUCCGAGUGUAGAGGUGAAAUUCGUAGAUAUUCGGAGGAACACCAGUGGCGAAGGCGGCUCACUGGACCAUUACUGACGCUGAGGUGCGAAAGCGUGGGGAGCAAACAGG
This 404-nucleotide ribosomal RNA is filed under the name Actinomycetes bacterium. Its description in RNAcentral is "Actinobacteria bacterium partial 16S ribosomal RNA". It matches the Rfam family "Bacterial small subunit ribosomal RNA", at positions 355 to 776 of the family's 1533-position model. The record is from RNAcentral. Lineage: Bacteria; Bacillati; Actinomycetota; Actinomycetes.